GGUCUGUGUGUGUUUAAUGAGUGUGGUGUAUAGUAUAUAUGUAGGGUAACGCUGUGGAGGUCUGUGUGUGUUUAAUGAGUGUGGUGUAUAGUAUAUAUGUAGGGUAACGCUGUGGAGGUCUGUGUGUGUUUAAUGAGUGUGGUGUAUAGUAUAUAUGUAGGGUAACGCUGUGGAGGUCUGUGUGUGUUUAAUGAGUGUGGUGUAUAGUAUAUAUGUAGGGUAACGCUGUGGAGGUCUGUGUGUGUUUAAU
Long non-coding RNA from Brienomyrus brachyistius, 250 nucleotides. RefSeq lists it as uncharacterized. The record is from RefSeq and is a predicted model, not a curated record. The transcript is spliced from 3 exons. Lineage: Eukaryota; Metazoa; Chordata; Actinopteri; Osteoglossiformes; Mormyridae.